This is a long non-coding RNA of Hirundo rustica (Barn swallow), 594 nucleotides long. RefSeq lists it as uncharacterized. Lineage: Eukaryota; Metazoa; Chordata; Aves; Passeriformes; Hirundinidae. The transcript has 3 exons. The record is from RefSeq and is a predicted model, not a curated record.
CUUCAGCUCAUCCAAGAAGCUGACAAGUACUGUUAGAGGAGGCUGUACAUGUUGCUCUAAUGGACCUCAUUAAGUUCUACUUACAGAUGUUCUCUUAACAUAAUUGAUCUGCGAUGAAAACUUUAAGGAACAAUGAAGGAGAGAGGUACUGCUCUGAAACGGAUUGAAAUGUGGAGCUGCAGCGAGCUGUUUGCCAGAGAUUUGAAAGCUACAGUAGAAAAAGCCCAAGGCCAUCAGACAAACAACAAAAAAAAAAAAGUUUGGGAGAGCGCGCAUCCUGAAUUUGAUAACACCUCCGGUCCCCUGCAGUUGGCGGGUCCCCUGCCUCUCCCUCUCCUGCCUGGAGCUCACGGUCCCAGCGUGGCACGUGGGCUUUUCCUGGCACUGCUUGCGCACACGGAGCAGCCAGGCUCGUUUUCGGCGCUCACGCUGCCUUCCUCAGGGCCCUUUUCGCAGGGACCCUGCUCUCCUCCCAAGUCACCCGCAACGAUUCACUUCUGUGGGGUGAGGACUCGGGGAAAGGUGUUGUUGACAAAUGGUUUGUGUUCGCCCUUACGCUGGGUGAGGGAGACAGGCAGGAUAGCGGGGAUGCAU